CCAGGCCCCUCACCAGGAUCUAACACCGGAUCACCCGUCACCGUCCGGGUCCCAGGCCCCUCACCAGGAUCUAACACCGGAUCACCAGUCACCAUCCGGGUCCCAGGCCCCUCACGAGGAUCUAACGCCUGAUGAUUCGUCACCAUCCGGGUCCCAGGCCCCUCACGAGGAUCUGACGCGUGAUGACCCAUCACUGUCCGGGUCCCAGACUCCUCACGAGGAGCUAACACCUGAUUACCCGUCACCGUCCGGGUCCCAGGCCCCUCAUGAUGAUCUGACGCCUGAUGACCCGUCACCGUCGCCCAUCACCCCCAGAUGGGACCAUCUAGUUUCAGGAGACCAAGCUCAGGACUCCCACUGAUUCUACAUGAUGGUAGAACACCAGAUAAAGACACAAAGAAGGUACCACACGGCCUGGAGGUCAGCGUUCAUAAGAGGUUGCCCUCACAUCCUGGUGCUUCCUGCAAGUCUGAAGGGAGGACCACCCAGCUGUGAUUGACAUAAUAAAGAAAUGUUUUGCUACAUCUCAUGAUGCAUGUUGAUAUUAAGUAGAAAAGUUAAUCGAUUCUGCGAGGUCCCAUGAGAAAACAGAGAGACUACAGUGCAUGUAGGAACUUUGUUAUAUUUUGUUAUGUUUUUAUCCAAGCAGCCAGCGUGUUACACUGUGAUAAAGGGUAAAUACAGGAGAGGUGCAACACUAAGGAUGUCUUUCAGACAGUACACAUUACGGAGUUCAUUAGAGUGCGGUCAUUGUUGACCUAGUUUGAGUUAUUCUAAGUCUUCAGAUUAAUGUCUUCAAGAGUCUCCUGAAGUUAAAAGUUCAGGAAUGUCCUUUGAGGGGAAGAGUUGGAGAGUUUCAGGAUGUGACUGUAACACAAUUAUGGUCCAUACUUGAGCAGGAUACUACGCCCCUGAUCUCCCAGAUUAAUGUCCCUAAAUCAUAGAGGUGUCUUUAAAACAUUAUUGUGUGUGAAUAGAGAUUACUAGUGAUUUUAUUAAACUAAGCUAUAUAUGUUUAAUGCAGUAUGUUUGAAGUUUUG
This 1040-nucleotide long non-coding RNA is filed under the name Macaca mulatta (Rhesus monkey). Its description in RNAcentral is "lncRNA (ENSMMUG00000056614.1)". The record is from RNAcentral. Lineage: Eukaryota; Metazoa; Chordata; Mammalia; Primates; Cercopithecidae.